UUUUAUAUGCAAAGUGCGGCCCUUUUCUUUGUUCUUUGAGAUUAUUUAUGAGUGAAGCCUGCUCCUACGGCACAAUUGUUUGACAUCCCACCAAACCAUAAUGAUAUCGCUGCAGGUCAGAAGCAAACUUUUUCCAAUACCCUUUUUUUGCGUGACAAUCUCCGCUGUCGCGGCUGUCAGUUUGGUUCCCCUCGACGCAACUUCGGAUUUCCUCACACGAUGUACAGAGUAAAAACAUUAUUGAAAUUGUAAUAUACAUUUAGUUUAAUUGCUAAACUACAAGUGAAUUAAAUUUCAAAGAAUUUGAACGACGCACACAACUUAUAAAGGAUUUAUUAUUUUACAAGGUUGUCUGUUGACUACUGUAUAUAAAACCCCUUCAAUAUAGGUGGAGUCGAGUCAGCAAAAAUAAAAAAAUUAAUAUAGUACCGGGCACCUCUUUUGGGCCACUUAAAGACUGGCUACCGCGGUCUCACUCGCUGUAAACAAGGGUUUUGUUUCAGAUGCAUUGAAUGCGCUUGCCUGAUUAAAAGCAUUUUAUGUGUAAUUUAAUCUAUAGAUUAAACUCGUUGCGUUUAUAUUUUGGGUGCAUCUGUUUGCGCUUACAUGAUUUACUAAUAAUUGUAUAUUUUAAUUGAACUGUCUUAAUGGAUUAAGCAUACAUAUUUUUUCACGUUAUUCCUCGAAUAUCCCAGGGGGCUAGAUGUUUUGCCAACAGUUUGACAAUUUGUUAAAUGUGCACAAAAUUCAUAUGAAGGGUGAUUAACAGUUGACUUCUGAAAUUAAAUAAAAAUAACAAGAUAAGAGGUUAUCUUAUAAGAGGUUAUCUAUGGAGAAAUGAGUGCUUGCAGAAUAUGUCAUCUUUUUUUGAUGAAUGCUUCAUUCGAAUCAGCAUUACUUUUUUGUUUCUUCAACUUUAAAGAUGAAUAUUCUCCUUUAGAGAUUGGCAUUUUAGAGAUUUUCAGCAAUAGCACAUCAUGUUAAAAUUUUUGAUUAUUUAUAUGCAUUUAAUAAUAGGCUACCGUAAGAUCAUAAUGUACACACCGUAAAAAUGAUUCAGUGGCUUUGUAAAUAUCUCUAAAAUAAAUGAUUAAAGUAACUUUAUUUCAGUUAAUGUGAUUUUUUUUUGUUGGACAAACCAAAAUAAAUUACUAAAAAUAGAACAGAUAUUUUGAGUAAAAUGUACAUAUUUUAUUUGAUGUAUACCCCUUAAUAAUAUAAGUAUUACAUUUACAGAUUAUUUUAAUAAAUAUAUAACUCUGACCUUCUUAAAUAUAUUGAAGUUUUUAAAACUGUAAUAAUUGCACAUUUCAAAUUAACAUUAUUUCUAUUUAACAUCAACUUGUGUAAAAAUGUGUAAGUUUUACGCCUAACUUGAAGUAUGAUUUACUUAUAUUUUUACAUUGAUAUUAUUUGAGUAAAUGUAGACAAAAAAAUAAAUGAAUAAUAAGUAGAACAAAUGUUAAUUUAAAAAAAUCCCAUAGCCAACGGUUUUUAAUCAGCAACAAAGAAACUGCGCCUUUUGCCGAUGACAAACACCUCAGAAACUCCUCAAAUUUAUGAAUAUUUACACACACAAUAUGAUUUUAUUUCCUUACUACAAAAGUAUAACAUAUUAGACAAAUUCUCAGUGAAAUGUAUUUAACACCAUUGCAUACUUUUUAUCGUGUUGCAUACCAUGUAAAGGGAAACAUGAUAAUAUAAAAAGUAGACUAUGUACAGUAAUGCAGAAAAGCGCAUCACAACCAUCUUAAAGCUAUUAAAACGUUCAGAUGCAAAAAUGAACUAAAUGUAAAAUUAGAUAAACUAGUUAAUGAUAUUGCGUAAAUGCUCUCUUCAAAGGUCUUCGCAAAUUAUUUUGUUAUAAGACUCAGUUAUCAUACAUCACGUCUCUUCUACUGUAAGUGCACGGAAAAAAAUAAGACAAAUGAUGCGCGUUUGAGUCGGACUUUUAUGAAGAAUAUGUGACUUUUAUGUAACUGGCAAAAGAAAACUUCGCCAACGCAAUGUAUAGUAGCGGAGUGGCCAUCGGGAGAGUCGGGACAUUAUCAUCAAAAACUUUUAUGACAAAAAUUAUAUUUAAAUGAAAUAUUCUUACAGUUAUUAAAAGAUGCACAUAUUAUUCCAUAGCCUAUUACUCCCGUUUAUGAGCACGAUCAUCUCUUGUCUCGCUCUGUUAUGUUAUAGCUGUUUGAUAGCUGCGCAUCUCCGUCUUUCAAACAGGUAUCAUUUUGUGUAGUUACUCAUUUAGGAAAAUUAGCCAUGAUUUAAUGAUUUUAUUAUUAUUAUUUAUUUUUUUUUUGUUGCAGAUUACGAUAUGUAUUACCCCAGUUUUACUACCAAUACGAGACCGUUUUUUGUUUUUACCACGGAGGGCCGGUGGUAUACGAAAUUUCCCGGUAAAUUUUUUGGUCCCACUCCACCCCUGGCAAUGUUUGCCAAAAAGCCUGCAUUUGUAUGACAUCAAAGUCUUUCGCCUAAACACUGAUAAUCCGUGUCAUGUUACUUCAAUAUCAUACAGUUUACGCUCAGCAUGAAGUUGAGCGCACAAAUUGCCGUCAGUAUGGUCUACAUGAAACACGACUGCCCUCUACAGGUUUUUUUAUUUCCAGCGUCCCCCACCGAACACCCAUUCUGCAGAAUGCCGCAGAAUUUCGGAAGUGCUCGCGGCAUUCUGCUCUCAGAGACGCGCAUUUUUAAAGGGCACAUCUGUAUGAGGAUCCGGCUUACUUCAUACUCGUCAUGGAGCGGCCUGAUCCUUGCAUGACCUUGCAUGAGUUUAUUAAACUUCAACGAGGUCUGCUGGAAUCAACAGCACGCACCCUAAUGCGUCAGGCAGUCAUGGCUGUAAAACAUUGCUUUAAGCAUUAGAUUUUUCAUACUGACCUCCACGCUGGCAACUUCCUGGUGGAUAAAAACAACAUGCUGCUGAAGCUGAUCGACUUUGGGUGCUGUGACCGAUUAAGAGACACGACCUAUGCAUAUGAAGAGUAUAUGGGGGCACCGGCUUAUCGGCCACCUGAGGUCCGCAACAGGGACAGAUACCACGCCAUGUCAAGCAGUGUCUGGUCUCUGGGAACUCUGCUCUAUUAUAUGGUUAAUGGAAACUUGCCCUUUCCCAAAUAUGGGCCGGUAACUGAAGGCAUGAUAAACCACGAGAAUUACUAUUUAACAAAGCAGAUUCAGGAUCUGAUUGAGAAGUGCCUGUCCAUUGAUCCAGCUAAACGACCAACGCUAGACCAGAUGUUAGAACAUCCCUGGUUUAAAAUGGGUGAAGAAGGAGGGAUGGUAGGCCAUUUAGUCCAACAUUAUUAUGAAAUAUGAGGUAUUGCAGUGGUUCCCCUGUCUGUAUUUGGUAUAAUAACACCUGCUAAAUCUGCUUCUUCUAGUCAGCUGAAUUGCGUCAGAUCAUGGAUGAACUCACCGACAAAGCCAGUUAGACCAUCAAGAAAGACAGUUUCCAAUAAGGAAGUCAGUAAGACCAUUUAGGAAGUCAGACAGACAAAUUAUCAUUGAUGUGUAAAUUCUAGAGCAGUGGUCUCCAACCUUUUUGUGAGCAAGGGCUACCACAAUGGAUAAAACAUUGUGUUGGCCCUUCUGGGGGGCUACUUUUUGUUAUAUUUAAGACUGGCAUCACAUCAGGUGAGAUUGAAGUGGACUGUGUAACUUUAACGCACAGUAAUUGUGUGGAUUUUUGGCACCUGCAAAUGUGAUAACCAUUUAAUGAAGGUCAAUAAGGUUUUAAAGUAAAAUUGGGUGAAUUUAAAGCAUUAAAGGCGGAGUCCACAAUGUUUGAAAAACGGUUUGGAAAAGGAGACGGGCCGACUACCAAAACACACUUAUAGCCAAUCAAAUCAAAUCAAAUGCCGGGUUGCGUAUGUGUGGGGCGGGUCUAUCAACAGAAGGUCCAGAUUCUAUUGGGGUAGGGGCGUGUUUGUUUAGGUGAUUUCAAAUAUCAACAUUUGCUUUCAAACAUCAUGGACUCCACCUUUAAAGGGAUAGUUCAUCCAAAAAUUAAAAUUCUGUCAUCAUUUUCUCAUCCUCAUGUUGUUCUAAACCGGUAUAGACGGUUUCAGCAGUAACAACAUAAACACGCGGCUUUCGUGGUCAUCACGUAACUAACGGUAAACUCUGUGAAGAAUAAAUAACAACAAAGUCCUUUUAAAGUAGUUUAUUUAUAUAACAAACAAAAAAUAAACAACACGUAGAUUACAUAGGAACCCAAAACAUUUGUUAUUUUCGACGAGGUAUUUGUUUAAGAGUUCAGUUUCAGCAACUAGUCAGACCAUUUAAGAAACAGAAAUCGGAAGUAAAGUUCUGACCAGACGCUUAUCGCGUCACCGCACGUGCAGUGUGUAUUUUUUUCUGAUAUUUUGAGAAAUGAUGGUAAGCACACAGCUCAUUACAGUAACCAUUGACUUCCAUUGUAGGGAAAAAACAAUCAUGAGCCCCAUUCACUUCCAUAAUAGGAGAAAAGAAUACUGUAGAAGUGAAUGGGGCUCAUGAACGGUUUGGUUACACACAUUUCUCAAAAUAUCUUCCUUCAUGUUAAAGGGAAACUUCACCCAUUUGCAUUAAGCUUUGUACCGUUAGAACCCCAGUCAUGUUUUUGAAUGGUCGUGCACCAUUCCCUCAGUUUCCCCUGAGAGGGGAGAAAUACUGAUUUCAGUGAGGCACUUCCUUCUUUCAAUGAUGUAAAAAUCGUCAUUUUGCGUCAUUGAAAGAAGGAAAUCCUGUAUCUCUAUUGAGUGUGAAAGACUACAGACACUCAUUCCUCAUUUUUCCAAGGUGGGGGCUAUGGGUGGGACCUACUCACGCUUCAGACCAAUUACAGAUAAGUGGGUGGGACUUACGAAAAUAUACGAACACAGACCGAAAAAAAACGACCAGCCGCCAUCUUUAUGCUAAGCUAAGCUAAACAGAAGUUGUGGAUCGAGCCAGAAUUCAUGUUACAAUAACAGUGGAAGUUAAUCAAUAUUACAUGGAAGAGGGUGAUUUUACAAGCGUGAUGCUCUAAUCCGCUGUGCAUUGCACCGUUAUGAGCCACAAUACAGCAAAGAGCUGAGGCAGAUGUAGGAACAGAAGCCCGAGGAGAAGCCGGAGCCUGGGCGUCGGCUGGGUAGAGGAGCCGGGGGAAGACACCGCUACCAUCGGCCUCUGCUGCGUAGAGAAGCUUGCCUGUUCUCUCGCUGUGUGGCUUCUUUAUAACAUUUCUGCAUCAGAUAAGGAUAUGGACGUUUGUUUGGUGAAGGUUUCUAUGCAAGAGAGGAACUUUGCGACCGUUAGGAACGUUUAUUUCACGGACAUGUUUCGGUUUACGAGCAGACGCGCUGCGGAGUAGGCUAUAUAAGCUUGGACGGACUCGCACCGUUUGCUUUCGGUUUAACAUUUCUGGAUCAGAUAAGGAUAUGAACGUUUGUUUUGUGAAUGUUUGUGGUCGCGUGCUUAUUUCAAAGACGUGUUUCGGUUUACAAGCACAAGCUCCAAGCUCCCAGAGCUGAGGCAGCGCGUCUGUGGAGAUAUUAUGCAGGGGACGCGUUUGUGUGGAGGAUGCAGGGAUAAACGAACGUCUGACUAAAGUGAGUGUUUAUAUUUUCUUUGUUAUACUAACGUGGCAUUUAUGUACACAAUAGCAUAUCUGAGCGGUGUUUUAUAUGUCUAUAUUGUGAGAGCAGUGAGAGCACAAAUGUAAUUACAGUAAACAAGAGACAAAAAGAAAAUUGGUAAAACUAAAUAAACAUUUAAAAUGAAUACCCUUUUUUAAGUACUUGGAAAGACAUUUGUACUGCGGAUCUGAAACCGCACGUUACUGUUUGAAUAAGACUUUGCUACACACCAGGCCAGAGUGUUAUUGUGUGUACCACAAUGUAACAUCACAUUUAAAAGUAAAUCAUGAUUGGUGUCUGUCAGACACAGUGGUGAUGGCUAUUUUCUUUGUUUUACUAACGUGACAUUUAUGUACACAAUAGCAUAUCUGAGCCGUGUUCCGAUUAAUGGGAGUGGCUUGCAGAGCUGUGCAUUGUGGUGCAUAGUGGCAGUUGUAGUUUUUCAUAAAAAUGUGCUCUAAAGUCACAUUUUGUCUUUUCUCUGUCAAAUAGCCACAAAAUUCUACAUUUAUGUUACAUUUUGACUACAAAUAUGACUCACUUUCCAUAAAGAUUAAUGUUCCUAUCGGUGAAAUGGCCCUUUAAUCAGAACAAAGACAUUUAGACAUGUUUGUAACAAAAUGAGAGUGAGAAAAUGAUGGUAAACUAUCCCUUUAAAUGAUUCUUAACUCGCCCUUUGCAGCAGUUUAGAUUAAGAUAUCUGUGAUAUAAUGCGCUGUCAUGCUAAACUCAUAGAGAGAGGAUGAGAGAGAGCUUUGGAAUGAACAAUGAAUCACUGUUUGUUUGUUUGUUUGUUUUUAGGGAAAAAACAGCAAAAUCUGUUAAAAGACAUUGGGGAAGAAGAUAAAGAGCCCCUUUGUUCACUGCUUAGGGAGGAACAAAGUGGUACCUUUCAUACCCUCCCCAUAGCUGAAACCGGGAAAUCCGGGGAAGGCCAAUGAUGAUCUGGACAAAUCACAGAUGAAGACCAGUUCCGGGAUGAAGACUGAUGAUGAUAUUGCCCAUCCCGUGGCACUAAUCACCUACAAAGCUUUAAAUGGCCUAGCACCCUCAAAUCUUGGAGAACUACUAUCAACCUGCAUUUUAUACUUUUUAUUUUUUUUUGCAACACAUACCAACGAACAGAACAGACAGGUCACUGGGGUAUCACAUACAGAUAAGAUGUUCAUGUACAAUUAACUUUAUGUCAGGGGUUGCUCUCCAAAUAAUAUCGGAAGAGAGAGAAUGAAAAAAAAAAAUAAUAAUAAUAAUAAUACAUAUAUAUAUAUAUAUAUAUAU
Misgurnus anguillicaudatus (oriental weatherfish) is the source of this 6884-nucleotide non-coding RNA. The record is from RefSeq and is a predicted model, not a curated record. Lineage: Eukaryota; Metazoa; Chordata; Actinopteri; Cypriniformes; Cobitidae.